This 72-nucleotide transfer RNA is filed under the name Loxodonta africana (African savanna elephant). It matches the Rfam family "tRNA". From Rfam's summary of the family: Transfer RNA (tRNA) molecules are approximately 80 nucleotides in length. The record is from Rfam by way of RNAcentral. Lineage: Eukaryota; Metazoa; Chordata; Mammalia; Proboscidea; Elephantidae.
GCCCUGAUGGCUCAGUGGUUAAGCACUUGGCUGUUAACCAAAAGCUCAGUGGUUUGAACCCACCUGGUAGCU